CUAUUAGGUUUUACCAACUCGUUAUACUAAUCUACAAGUUUGACCUCAAAUCAGGUAGGACUACCCGCUGAACUUAAGCAUAUCAAUAAGCGGAGGAAAAGAAACCAACCGGGAUUGCCUCAGUAACGGCGAGUGAAGCGGCAAAAGCUCAAAUUUGAAAUCUGCGUAAGCCGAGUUGUAAUUUGAAGAUGGCUACUUUGGUAAUGGCUCUUGUCUAUGUUCCUUGGAACAGGACGUCACAGAGGGUGAGAAUCCCGUGCGAUGAGAUGUCCAUUACCGUGUAAAGUGCUUUCGAAGAGUCGAGUUGUUUGGGAAUGCAGCUCUAAGUGGGUGGUAAAUUCCAUCUAAAGCUAAAUAUUGGCGAGAGACCGAUAGCGAACAAGUACAGUGAUGGAAAGAUGAAAAGAACUUUGAAAAGAGAGUGAAAAAGUACGUGAAAUUGUUGAAAGGGAAGGGCUUGAGAUCAGACUUGGUAUUUUGUAUGGCUUGCUUUCGGGCGGGUCCUCUGCAGUUUACUGGGCCAGCAUCGGUUUGGGUGGCAGGAUAAUAGCAUAGGAAUGUGGCUCUACUUCGGUGGAGUGUUAUAGCCUUUGUUGAUACUGCCUGCCUAGACCGAGGACUGCGUCUUUGACU
This 633-nucleotide small RNA is filed under the name Fermentozyma sake. RNAcentral describes it as "eukaryotic LSU rRNA". It matches the Rfam family "Eukaryotic large subunit ribosomal RNA", at positions 1 to 608 of the family's 3401-position model. Lineage: Eukaryota; Fungi; Ascomycota; Pichiomycetes; Serinales; Debaryomycetaceae. The record is from RNAcentral.